Molecule: ribosomal RNA, 270 nt
Filed under: uncultured archaeon
Lineage: Archaea
Description: partial 16S ribosomal RNA
Rfam family: Archaeal small subunit ribosomal RNA
Source: RNAcentral
CAGCACCUCAAGUGGUCAGGAUGAUUAUUGGGCCUAAAGCAUCCGUAGCCGGCUCUGUAAGUUUUCGGUUAAAUCUGUAUGCUCAACAUACAGGCUGCCGGGAAUACUGCAGAGCUAGGGAGUGGGAGAGGUAGACGGUACUCGGUAGGAAGGGGUAAAAUCCUUUGAUCUAUUGAUGACCACCUGUGGCGAAGGCGGUCUACCAGAACACGUCCGACGGUGAGGGAUGAAAGCUGGGGGAGCAAACCGGAUUAGAGACCCGCGUAGUCC